AUUGAACGCUGGCGGCAUGCCUUACACAUGCAAGUCGAACGGCAGCACGGGAGCAAUCCUGGUGGCGAGUGGCGAACGGGUGAGUAAUAUAUCGGAACGUGCCCAGUCGUGGGGGAUAACGCAGCGAAAGUUGUGCUAAUACCGCAUACGAUCUAUGGAUGAAAGCGGGGGAUCGCAAGACCUCGCGCGAUUGGAGCGGCCGAUAUCAGAUUAGCUAGUUGGUGGGGUAAAAGCCCACCAAGGCGACGAUCUGUAGCUGGUCUGAGAGGACGACCAGCCACACUGGAACUGAGACACGGUCCAGACUCCUACGGGAGGCAGCAGUGGGGAAUUUUGGACAAUGGGCGCAAGCCUGAUCCAGCAAUGCCGCGUGCAGGAUGAAGGCCUUCGGGUUGUAAACUGCUUUUGUACGGAACGAAACGGUSMKUUCUAAUACARKGGGCUAAUGACGGUACCGUAAGAAUAAGCACCGGCUAACUACGUG
Molecule: ribosomal RNA, 484 nt
Filed under: uncultured bacterium
Lineage: Bacteria
Description: bacterial SSU rRNA
Rfam family: Bacterial small subunit ribosomal RNA
Source: RNAcentral